CAGUCGCCACGGGAAUACGUAGGUCCCGAGCGUUGUCCGGAUUUAUUGGGCGUAAAGCGUGCGCAGGCGGUUGUGUAAGACAGGUGUGAAAUCCCCGGGCUUAACCUGGGAACUGCGCUUGUGACUGCACAGCUAGAGUAUGGCAGAGGGGGGUGGAAUUCCACGUGUAGCAGUGAAAUGCGUAGAGAUGUGGAGGAACACCAGUGGCGAAGGCGACUCUCUGGUCUGUAACUGACGCUGAGGAGCGAAAGCGUGGGGAGCGAACAGGAUUAGAUACCCCCGUAGUCCCUGUCUCUUAUAC
This 301-nucleotide ribosomal RNA is filed under the name uncultured bacterium. RNAcentral describes it as "partial 16S ribosomal RNA". It matches the Rfam family "Bacterial small subunit ribosomal RNA", at positions 509 to 807 of the family's 1533-position model. The record is from RNAcentral.